GCGGCUUUCGUAUAAUGGCUAUUACACCUGUCUUCCAAAUAGGUGAUGCGGUUUCAAUUACCGCAAGCCGCUCUA
This 75-nucleotide transfer RNA is filed under the name Pseudomonadota bacterium. RNAcentral's name for it is "Proteobacteria bacterium tRNA-Gly". It matches the Rfam family "tRNA". Rfam says of the family: Transfer RNA (tRNA) molecules are approximately 80 nucleotides in length. Their secondary structure includes four short double-helical elements and three loops (D, anti-codon, and T loops). Lineage: Bacteria; Pseudomonadati; Pseudomonadota. The record is from RNAcentral.